Molecule: small nuclear RNA, 125 nt
Filed under: Varanus komodoensis (Komodo dragon)
Lineage: Eukaryota; Metazoa; Chordata; Lepidosauria; Squamata; Varanidae
Description: U1 spliceosomal RNA (ENSVKKG00000012240.1)
Rfam family: U1 spliceosomal RNA
About the family: U1 is a small nuclear RNA (snRNA) component of the spliceosome (involved in pre-mRNA splicing).
Source: RNAcentral
AAAUUUACCUGGAAGGAGCAACAUCUUGAUCGCAAAGGAAGUUUUCCUGUGUGAGACUUAUCUGUUGUACUCUGGAUAUGUUGCCCUCUUCAGUUUCCCCAAAUAUGGAAAGCUUACUUCCCUUC